AAGGGGCCUCGGCGCGGUGCCACAUCGCCAAACCCCCCCAGGGCAGAAAUGCAGCAAGGGUAGGCGGUCCCUGGCAGGUGCGCCGGGGCUUUUUUUA
This 97-nucleotide signal recognition particle RNA is filed under the name Aeriscardovia sp. RNAcentral describes it as "signal recognition particle sRNA small type". It matches the Rfam family "Bacterial small signal recognition particle RNA". From Rfam's summary of the family: The signal recognition particle (SRP) is a universally conserved ribonucleoprotein involved in the co-translational targeting of proteins to membranes. Archaeal SRP consists of a 7S RNA and homologues of the eukaryotic SRP19 and SRP54 proteins. The record is from RNAcentral. Lineage: Bacteria; Bacillati; Actinomycetota; Actinomycetes; Bifidobacteriales; Bifidobacteriaceae.